AGAUUCAUUUUCUGCUCAGACACCGUUGCUUGCAAAAUUCCACCCAGAAGAUAAGGGAGGGAGUAUCGCUGCAGCGUCCUGCUCUGUGCCUGGUUAUAUUACUGGAUCCUUGUGUUGCAGCCCUAAGAUAGAAGGAUUGUCUCCAUUUCACAGAUGAGAGAGAACUGAUGCGCAGGAGGCUGAAAUUGUCUGAAGUCACACAGCAGCCUCCUCUUAAACAUGACAAAGAAUCCAAGGACUUGUGCUGGGGCUGUCAGCUGCUAUUCUGGUGCCCUGGGGACGAAGAAGGGAUCUGGAGGGAAGACUGUCACCCUCUUGCGAAUGUUUCCAAGAAGCAGCUCAGCAUGGGAGAGAAAAGGGGAGAUCCCAGUUCCAGGAACACCUGGCCAGUGUUUCACCUGUUUAUCGGAGUUGACAGGACCAGCCAGCCCUUUCCCACCUCUCCCCAUCAUGAUGGAUGGGAGCCUGGCCUUUGAGAUUCCUGCGAAGGAAUGACAAAGAACAUCAAGGCUCAAUCCUUGGAACUCUCCAUCACUCAUCUUUAAAUUAGACUUCUCUGCUGACUCUCAGAGUUGUGUAUGCUGAGAAUCCACUGCCUCUAAGACAUCCUGCUUGGCAGGUUCCUAUCUCCCUUCGACUGAGGCAUCGUUUCCAAAUCAGACACUUCUCGUCACCACUAUUGCCCUCCCCUUGUCCAACCCACCUUUGGCUCUUGGCUGGAGUCCGGUGAGUCUCCUAGCUGGCUCUCCCUGUUCUCGUCAUUUCCCAGUAAGUUCCAACCCUGCCUUCAGACUCUUCUGCACACAGCUUCCAGAGUAAUCCUUUCAAAAAGUAAGUCAGAUCCCAUCUUUUCCCUCCCGUCUCACUCUGUCAGCCACAUUCAUUCCAAAGGACCAUGUGGUCCAUGUCCCUGUUCUCUCUGGUUCUCUCACUGCUCUCCUCUGUGCUUACUCUCUCCUGCCUCACAAUGUUUGCACUUACUGUUUCUUCUGCUUGGAACUCUUUCCCUCCAAGACCUUUUUUUUUUGAGACGGAGUCUCGCUCUGUCGCCCAGGCUGGAGCGCAGUGGUGCAAUCUCUGCUCACUGCAAGCUCUGCCUCCCAGGUUCACGUCAUUCUCCUGCCUCAGCCUCCCGAGUAGCUGGGACUACACGCACCAGCCACCAUACCCAGCUCAUUUUUUUUGUAUUUUCAGUAGAGACGGGGUUUCACCAUGUUGGCCAGGAUGGUCUUGAUCUCCUGACCUCGUGAUCCGCCCGCCUCGGCCUCCCUAAGCGCUGGGAUUACAGGUGUGAACCACCGCGCCCGGCCUCCCUCCAAGAUCUUUACUCACGUUGUCACCUUAGUGACGGCUCCCUCCCUAACCAUCCUAUUUAAAAUUGCAGCCCGUUCAACACCCAUUCCUCCUUCUCCAUCCUUGCUCUGCUUCCUCCCUUUGACCUGUCACUCUUUAAUCCAGUGGCAUUCUGAUUCAAUGGUGACUGGGAGCAGGACCUAAGGAGGUGCGUCAUCUGUAGAGAAUUUGAAAAUAAUCGUGAAAUAAACUCAAAGUGGGUUUGCUCUUUAUGAGCCCCGCACACCAGCAAUUCUAAAUUCUGUUAUCAAUAUACUUUCCUGCCAGGGUGGGCCGCCCCCACCGAUUCUCCUCUAUCUUAAUACACUAUGUGUUUCCCUUGUUUAUUUUGCUUAUUGUUCAUUUCCAUGCACUAGAAUAUAAGCUCCGCGAGGGCAGUAUAUUUUGUCUGUUUUGUUCACCACUGUGUCCCUCGUGUCUGCCACAUGGUGUGUGCUCAGUAAGCUUUAGCUGAAUGAAUGAAGUGGUGGAUGUCGACGUUCCCUUAGUUGGGGGUUAUCAGGAGGGCUUCCUGGAUGAAUUGGUGUCUAUAUUGCCUGUCCUUAAAGAGGAGGAAGGUGCUCUAGGCAGAAGGAACAGCAGGUACAAAAGCAACUUGACUGUCAGGGUCAUUAGCUAAGAGUAGGAGUCAGAGGGAUGAGUGGGUGUCGUUCACCAGAAUUUACCCUUCAAAAUGUCAGUGCUUAGUAAAUGAAUGUGUUCCUUUAUUACUAGUUGUUGGAGGGUCCUUGUUGACAUCUUGCAGAGGUCUGGCUGUCACUUUUAAUCAGAAUGGCUAUUCCCCACUCCUGCUGAAGAGCUCCAGGCCUGGCGGGGGUGGGCUGGCGGGCUGUGGUGGUGGUAAGGGCUGUCCCCCAGCACACUGUUAGAACUUUACUUAUCCUCUUGCUUGAAGUGUGGGAGCUGGAGACCAUUCAGGAAGCUGUGGUUACAGUCCCAGACAGGGUCCCUAAAAGCAAGGAGCCAUUCCCAAUGCUUCCUCCUUAGGGAAGCCUUCCCUACUUUCUCUUCCCUCUUCUGGGCAGAGUUUGUACCUUCCUCCUUUUUGCUCUCUGUUUAUUUCUUUAAUUUAACACUUAACAACAUAAUACCAUCUUUAUUUGUUCCAUGUUUGUAUCUUCUACUGAAUGUGGCUUCAAGAACAGAAAGCACAGAACGUGGCACGUUGGAGGAAAUCAGUAAGUGUUUGCUAAAGGUCCAACAAUGAAACAGAACAGAUAUAUCCAGUGCUAUGCCGCGUCAAAAGAGUAUGAGAGGUAUUGUGGUGAUGCUUUUGAAUGCUAAUCAGAAUAAGGAGGGUGACUAGUCCAUAGUUAUAUAGAAUAUAGGAUAUACAGAAUAUACCUUUUUCUGUAACGGGAUGUGUCACUUAACUUUGUUCCUUAAAGCUCCAGAAGCCCAAGGUCACCCACAAUGAUUCAAGUAUUAUCAAUGUUGAGAGCCUGUAAAAGCAUCAAGUAUAUUAUAGUUUCCAAAAAAUUGUGAAUUAGACUGAAAACCAGCAUUUAAAAAAUAAAGUGAUGUUGACUUAAACACUGGUUUUAUAUACAUGCCGCAUAUGAGCUGUGGAGGCCGCUCACAUGCCAGCGUACUGGUUCAUCUGCAAUGGGCAGGCGGGCCAUACCCCACUGGGGAGAAAUCUUAUGGGCUUCAGAAAUGUCUAAUGAAAUAAGAUUUUUAACUAGUUCAAAAUCGGAGUUCAGAAACAGUUCAGUUAAUAUUUAAGUGUCGAGUUAAGAGAGGAGGUUGAACAAAAUUCAUUUUGAAGCUUUCACAGAGUUUUUAAAAAGCAAAACUUUAGACUUAAAAUGGACUGUUUUAUUAUAUGCAAUGCACGUGAAUAUUAAAUGUAUGUUAAGUUUUUCAUUUAGCAGAUUUCUCCCCAGACUUUUAAAACCACCACCAAAAAAUAUUUACAUAUUCUCUCCUCUCCCCCAAAGCAUCCCUCCCGUACACAAAUACCCUUAUUUUGAGACCGUGUUGCUCUAGAUUAAACCAGUUCUUCCAAGAGCAGCCCGUAGGAUUCUGCUCCAUCCAGAGCAAGGCCCUUGGCUAAAGUCACUGCCUCUGCUUGACUGAGCCGGGCUGGGAAUCUCAUUAUGGAAGCUUUCCACCUCCUUCCCAAGCCAGCCCUCUAGCGGAGGCCAAGAUUGCGUCAUCGGUCCUGGGCCUCAUCCCUCCUUGCCUGAGGCCUGCUCACCUAAUGUGUUUCAGGAGCAUUCCAGCAGCCAGGCCUUCAGUUGCUCCCCGAUCCCAGAUGGGGAAAACCUUGUGCGGCACAUUUGCCUCAGGAAGACUGCACUGGGCUCCCCGGCGCCCCUAGGACAGCGUCCCUUCACGUCGGAGAGACUGGGUGUGGGCCGUGAGGUUUAGGAGGCUUUAGGAGAAGGAAGAUCCUCUCUCAGGAGUGAAAUGAUCUUAUCUGAGAGGAUGGAAGUGGUGAGGGCAUCAGCAUGGGUCCUGGGCUGCGGCUGUGCCUCUUCCUCCCCAUGCUGACACGUGCUUGCCCACAAGCGCCCCGGGCCUCUACAUCUCUUGGUAGUUUAAAGCUCUAUUUUAGUCUCAACUAGCAGUUUCUCUCACUGGUAGAUCUAAGUUCUAAGACUAUUCAAUGGGUUCUGUUUCUUUUUUUAAGAAUUAAAAAAACUGUUCCAGUUAAUUCACGGUCACUAUGAAAAAAAUAGGCAGGACAUGUAAAUAAAAGAUUAAAAUAUAUACAAAUCAAAGAAGGAAGUACACCCAGGCCAGUUAUCAGGCAAGCUUGCCAGACAUCAAUCCAGCAAGAAAACGAUAGUGUGCUUUGAAAAUGCCAAAUCCGGCCGGGCGGGCGGCUCCCGCCUGUGAUCCCGGCACUUUGGGAGGCCGAGGCGGGCGGAUCACGAGGUCAGGAGAUCGAGACCAUCCUGGCUAACACGGUGAAACCCCGUCUCUACUAAAAAUACAAAAAAUUAGCCGGGCGUGGUGGCGGGCGCCUGUAGUCCCAGCUACUUGGGAGGCUGAGGCAGGAGAAUGGCGUGAACCCGGGAGGCGGAGCUUGCAGUGAGCCGAGAUGGCACCACUGCACUCCAGCCUGGGCAACAGAGCAAGACUCUGUCUCAAAAAAAAAAAAAAAAAAAAAGAAAAAGAAAAGAAAAUGCCAAAUCCGGCCAGGUGCGGUGGCUCAUGCCUGUAAUCCCAGCAUUUUGGGAGGCCAAGGCGGGUGGAUCACCAGAAGUCAGGAGUUCAAGACCAGCUUGACCAACAUGGAGAAACCCCGUCUCUACUAAAAAUACAAAAUUAGCUGGGCAUGGUGACGCAUGCCUGUAAUCCCAGCCACUCGGGAGCCUGAGGCAGGAGAAUCACUUAAACCCAGGAGGCAGAGGUUACUGUGAGCCAAGAUCGUCCCAUUGCACUCCAGCCUGGGCAACAAAAGUGAGACUCUGUCUCAAAAAAAAAAAAGAAAAAAGAAAGAAAAAAAGAAAAUGCCAAAUCCAUUACUUCUUUGGGAACCUCAGGUGUAACCGCUGGUGUGCUGUGGAUGACACAGCAUCACUGGGAUCUGGUGCCUGGUAUGAGCUGUGUGAAGGAGUAGGAGUGUGCUCACCCAUCCGCAGGGCCACCGUUGGUCACUGUCCUACAUUUUCCCUCCUUGCUCCCAGGGCUAGUCCUGGUUAGGUGUGGGCGGCAAUCUGGGGACAGCAGUCAGCUUGCUGUCUGCUCCACUCUGCAACAAACUGCCUUCCUCAGUGCCCACCCCAACGGAGAAGGAACAAAUGGUCUUCUGUUUGGAUGGAGGAGAGGAUUUGUAUCUGUUCUCAGCUGCCUGUGGGUUUGUGCUUCCCACCUGCCUGCCCAGGCCUCAUCUGAUGUAUCAGGAGUCCUCUGGGCGGGCACCAAUGAGGGCAGCCUUUCAACUAAUCCGGGGUGCCACCGAGGAGCUGGAGUGCGAGCUCUUUGGCCCUAUGGGAAGCUCCCCUGGGAGGCUGCACUCUUUUCUACCAGUGAAUGUUCUUUCACCCACUUCCUGCGGGCGCUGGCCAGAUCCUCUGUGAGCAGUGGAGCUUGGCAUGGUUCAGCGUGGAGCAGCCCUCCCAGCCACCCAGGGAAAUCUCUCCAUUCAAUUACCUCCUGGCUUCCCACGCGUGGCCCAUUAGCCUUGUCUGGGGCUCUUAUGCAUCAGGAUUUAUCAUUGUGCAGCACCUGCGGGGGAGCUUGCCCCAGGCUUUGAAGGUCCUUCUGCAGAGGAGCUUAGGCAGGAGCAGGGGGCGCACGGAGGAGGUUUCUCUCAGUGGAGGAGCACGUGCUAUGAUUUCCUAGCCUGCUGUUGACGCUCCAUUGCGGUCCUCAUCACUUCAGAGCACUUUCAUUCUUAUUUUAUUUUUAAAUUUUUAAAAGAGACUGGGUCUCUUUUGUUGCCCAGGCUAGAGUACCGUGCUGUGAUCACAGCUCCCUGGAGGCUUAAACUCCUGGGCUCAAGCAAUUCUCGUGUCUCAGCCCCCUGAGUCGCUAAGACUACAGGUGGGCAUCACCAUGCCUGGCUAAUUGAUUUUAUUUUUUAGAGAUGAGCUCUUGCCACGUUUCCCAGACUGUGCUUGAACUCCUGGCCUCAAGCAAUCCUCCCACUUCAGCCCCAAGAGUUGCUGGGAUUACAGGGGGAAGCCACCUUGUCCGGCCCAGAAGCACUUUUCAAAGCCUCUUACGUUGGAUGCUGUAGGUUCCAUGCGACAAUGACACUAAUUAUGAUUUAAGCAGCACCUACUAGAAAGGAGCGUGUCUCAUACAUUAUUGAUCACUCUUAAAACUGCCUAGCUCCACGUGGUGGCUCACUCCUGUAAUCCCAGCUCUUUGGGAGGCUGAGGCAGGCGGAUCACCUGAGGUCAGCAGUUCGAGACCAGCCUGGCCAACAUGGCGAAACCCCCUUUCUCUACUAAAAAUACAAAAAUUAGCCAGGCGUGGAGGCGCGUGCCUGUAAUCCCAGCUACUUGGGAGGCUGAGGCAGGAGAAUCACUUGAACCUGGGAGACGGAGGUUGCAGUGAGCCGAGAUUGCACCACUGCACUCCAGCCUGGGUGACAGAGUGAGACUCCAUGUAAAAACAAACAAACAAAGAACCCCAAACUGCCUAGCUCCAUUUUGUUCAACAAGAGGCUCAGAGAGUAUGUUUGAGGUCACCCACGUGUGUAUUUUACGUCUAAAACCUCUCCUGACCCUCGAAUGACCCACUCCUGGCUGUAGUCAGUUAGGUCUGUUCAGCCGCAGGAGAGGAGGCUCACAACGGCCAGGCAGGCUCCGAUCUUCUCAAUGUGGUCCCUCGCUGUGGCGGCUUAGCUUAGAUCUUCUCUCAAACUCAGGCCGCUAGAGGGUCCCCACCGGGAAAGGGACACGCCAGGGCGUGGGGCAGGUCUGGAGCGGCCCGGGGCCGGGUGGAUCCCGGCGCUCUGCUUUUACCUGGCAGGCGGGAGCGGUCCGGCGGGGCGUGGGCGCAGCGGGGGCCCGGGGCUGGAGGGGAGGGGACGGAGGGGGCAGGAGGGGGAGGGCCGGGAGGAGCCAGCAAGCUGGCGGCGGCGGCGGCCUUGAGCCACUGGCUGGGGCUGGUUGUGGCCGAGGCUGUGGCGAGAGGCGGGGCCGCUGGUGUGGCCAACGAGCCCGUAAUGAAGCCCGGCGCCUGAGUCCCCUUUGUUCCCGGGGAACUACUUAAAAAGCCCCCUCCUCAGUCCCCGUGCGGGGCGAAUGAGGACAAUGGCCGGAGUCGCAGUGGGCAGAGCGGAACGCCCCCUUCAGAGAGGCCUUUCCAGCCGCGCGGCCCGGGGGACUGCAGGCGGGGCGCGCGCUGCCCUUCGAGGCCAAGAGGCCAACGGUGAAACAACAAAGAUUUUUUUUUUCUUUCUUUUUUCUUUUUUUUUUAGAAAGAAAUCUCGCCAUUGCCGGGAAUGGGUAAAUCACUCAGGCCGCGUGGGUCCUUGGCAGAUGGCAGAGGCGGCUUCCCAGUCCCCCACCUGGCACUAGAGGGACGGGGCGCGCACCCAACGGUGGCACGCAUCGCCGAAUUUUCCUGAAUGCCGCUGUGGCACAUUCCUGGCCUUUGCAGUUAUUAGGAAAUGAGAGGAUCUUUUUUCCUUCUACUCUCCCCUCCCCCUGCCUUCGUUUUUCUUCCAGGCAUGGAAUUAUCUACUUUAGCAGUUCAAAAGACAUUCCAUUCCCAUGACAAAGACAGAAAGGGGUGAUGUUGGCAUACUGUAGCCCUCUUUCUCAUAGGGAGACUUGAGCAAUAAAUCAUAAUGAAUGAGA
This 7619-nucleotide long non-coding RNA is filed under the name Homo sapiens (human). RNAcentral describes it as "HSALNT0317304". Lineage: Eukaryota; Metazoa; Chordata; Mammalia; Primates; Hominidae. The record is from RNAcentral.